UCAAGCUACAAAGAGCACAAGGGGAAUGCCUUGGCACCGAGAGCCGAAGAAGGACGUGACUAACUGCGAUAAGCUGCGGGGAGCCGUAAGUAGGCUUUGAUCCGCAGAUUUCCGAAUGGAGCAAUCCGGCAAGAGGAAAGUCUUGUCAUCAUAUACUGAAUACAUAGGUAUAUGAGGGGAACCGCCUGAACUGAAACAUCUAAGUAGGGCGAGGAAGAGAAAUCAACCGAGAUUCCGCUAGUAGUGGCGAGCGAACGCGGAAGAGGCCAAACCAGCGGUAGAAAUACCGUUGGGGUUACGGACUAGUACAAGUAUCGCAGAGUCUAGCUGAAGUGUGUGGGAAAGCACGCCGAAGAAUGUGAGAGCCAUGUAAGCGAAAGACGAAGCGAGCGACUAGAAUCCAGAGUACGGCUGGGCACGUGAAACCCGGUCGGAAGUCGGGGGGACCACCCUCCAAGCCUAAAUACUACCCAGUGACCGAUAGCGUAUAGUACUGUGAAGGAAAGGUGAAAAGCACCCCGGGAGGGGAGUGAAAAAGAACCUGAAACCCUGUGCCUACAAGCACCUAGAGCGCGUCAAAGCGUGAUAGGGUACUUUUUGUAGAACGGUCCGGCGAGCGAUUGUAUGCAGCAAGGUUAAGGACUUAAGGUCUGGAGCCGAAGCGAAAGCGAGUUUGAAAAGGGCGUUAAGUUGCAUAUAAUGGGCCCGAAACCGGGUGACCUACCCAUGGUCAGGUUGAAGUGGAAGUAAAAUUCCAUGGAGGACCGAACCGACCUCCGUUGAAAAGGCGGCGGAUGAACUGUGGGUAGCGGAGAAAUUCCAAUCGAACCCGGAGAUAGCUGGUUCUCUCCGAAAUAGCUUUAGGGCUAGCCUUGAAAUAGAUUACCGGAGGUAAAGCACUGAAUUGGCUAGGGGCCGAGAGGUUACUGAACCUUAUCAAACUAAGAAUGCCGGAUAAUCGUUUUUCAGGAGUCAGACAGUGGGAGAUAAGUUUCAUUGUCAAAAGGGAAACAGCCCAGACCCACAGCUAAGGUCCCCAAGUAUAGUUAAGUGGAAAAGGAUGUGGAAUUGCACAGACAACCAGGAUGUUGGCUUAGAAGCAGCCACUCAUUAAAAGAGUGCGUAAUAGCUCACUGGUCGAGUGACUCUGCGCGGAAAAUGUAACGGGGCUAAGCGUAUAACCGAAGCUUGGGAUUGCCGCAAGGCAGUGGUAGGGGAGCGUUCUGUACGGGGCGAAGUCGCAGCGAGAGCAGCGGUGGACUGUACAGAAGUGAGAAUGCCGGAAUGAGUAGCGAGAAUUAUGUGGGAAUCAUAAUGGCCGAAAAUCUAAGGUUUCUUGGGGAAGGUUCGUCCGCCCAAGGUAAGCCGGGAGCUAAGGCGAGGCCGCGAGGCGUAGUCGAUGCACAUACGGUAGAAAUUCCGUAGCCACCGAACCUUAAACAUGGAGGACACUUGGAGAUAGCGGGACCCGGGCGUUGGUUGACCCGGGCGAAAGGGAGCGAAAUUAAAGUAGCGAAGUCCGCGAUGCUCUGAGGCGAGAAAAGUCCAUGCGUAUGCUAAGGUGCCCGUACCGCAAACCGACACAGGUAGAUGAGGAGAGAAUCCUAAGGCCAACGGGAGAAGGGUUGUUAAGGAACUCGGCAAGUUGACCCCGUAACUUCGGAAGAAGGGGAGCCCCGAAAGGGGCCGCAGUGAAAAGGCCCAAGCAACUGUUUACCAAAAACACAGGUCUAUGCUAAAUCGAAAGAUGACGUAUAUGGGCUGACGCCUGCCCGGUGCCGGAAGGUUAAGAGGAGAUGUCAGCGCAAGCGAAGCAUUGAAUUGAAGCCCCGGUAAACGGCGGCCGUAACUAUAACGGUCCUAAGGUAGCGAAAUUCCUUGUCGGGUAAGUUCCGACCCGCACGAAUGGUGUAACGAUCUGGGCACUGUCUCAACUACCCACCCGGCGAAAUUGUAGUACCGGUGAAGAUGCCGGUUACCUGCGGCAAGACGGAAAGACCCCAUGGAGCUUUACUGUAGCCUGAUAUUGGGUUUCGGAAAUCUAUGUACAGGAUAGGCGGGAGACUUGGAAACAUGAGCGUCAGCUUGUGUGGAGUCGAUGUUGGGAUACCGCCCUUAGGUUUCUGGAAUUCUAACCUGCGGCCGUGAAUCCGGUCGGGGGACAUUGUCAGGUGGGCAGUUUGACUGGGGCGGUCGCCUCCGAAAAAGUAACGGAGGCGCUCAAAGGUUAGCUCAGCACGGACGGAAACCGUGCCUCUGAGUGUAAACGCAAAAGCUAGCCUAACUGCGAGGGUGACGGCCCGAGCAGUAACGAAAGUUGGAGUUAGUGAUCCGGCGGUAUGUGAAUGGAAAUGCCGUCGCUCAACGGAUAAAAGCUACCCUGGGGAUAACAGGCUGAUCUCCCCCAAGAGUCCACAUCGACGGGGAGGUUUGGCACCUCGAUGUCGGCUCAUCACAUCCUGGGGCUGUAUUCGGUCCCAAGGGUUCGGCUGUUCGCCGAUUAAAGUGGUACGCGAGCUGGGUUCAGAACGUCGCGAGACAGUUCGGUCCCUAUCUGUCGUGGGCGCAGGAUAUUUGAGGAGCUCUGUCCUUAGUACGAGAGGACCGGGAUGGACGUACCUCUGGUGCACCAGUUGUCAUGCCAAUGGCACGGCUGGGCAGCUAUGUACGGAACGGAUAAACGCUGAAAGCAUCUAAGCGUGAAGCCGACUCCAAGAUUAGAUAUCCCAUCGUAUAACGAGUAAGACCCCUUGAAGACUACGAGGUUGAUAGGCUGCGUGUGUAAGUGCCGUGAGGCAUUCAGCUUGGCAGUACUAAUAGGUCGAGGGCUUGACCAC
Molecule: ribosomal RNA, 2837 nt
Filed under: human metagenome
Description: bacterial LSU rRNA
Rfam family: Bacterial large subunit ribosomal RNA
Source: RNAcentral